AGAGCGAACGCUGGCGGCAGGCUUAACACAUGCAAGUCGAGCGGACGUAGCAAUACGUCAGCGGCAGACGGGUGAGUAACGCGUGGGAACAUACCUUUUGGUUCGGAACAACACAGGGAAACUUGUGCUAAUACCGGAUAAGCCCUUACGGGGAAAGAUUUAUCGCCGAAAGAUUGGCCCGCGUCUGAUUAGCUAGUUGGUGAGGUAACGGCUCACCAAGGCGACGAUCAGUAGCUGGUCUGAGAGGAUGAUCAGCCACAUUGGGACUGAGACACGGCCCAAACUCCUACGGGAGGCAGCAGUGGGGAAUAUUGGACAAUGGGCGCAAGCCUGAUCCAGCCAUGCCGCGUGAGUGAUGAAGGCCCUAGGGUUGUAAAGCUCUUUUGUGCGGGAAGAUAAUGACGGUACCGCAAGAAUAAGCCCCGGCUAACUUCGUGCCAGCAGCCGC
This 448-nucleotide ribosomal RNA is filed under the name uncultured bacterium. RNAcentral describes it as "SSU rRNA". It matches the Rfam family "Bacterial small subunit ribosomal RNA", at positions 26 to 518 of the family's 1533-position model. The record is from RNAcentral.